This 50-nucleotide small nucleolar RNA is filed under the name Nelumbo nucifera (sacred lotus). RNAcentral's name for it is "Small nucleolar RNA snoR101". It matches the Rfam family "Small nucleolar RNA snoR101". The record is from Rfam by way of RNAcentral. Lineage: Eukaryota; Viridiplantae; Streptophyta; Magnoliopsida; Proteales; Nelumbonaceae.
GUCUUACACUUGAUCUCUAAGGUAAGUUCAUGUGUUGACAAGUACAUAGA